GGUCUGGUGGUCUAGUGGUAUGAUUCUCGCUUAGGGUCCACCCUAAUCAAUCCUGCGAGAGGCCCCGGGUUCAAAUCCCGGCCAGACCC
This is a non-coding RNA of Whalleya microplaca, 89 nucleotides long. The record is from the annotation of a GenBank genome assembly. NCBI's taxonomy places the organism in Eukaryota, Fungi, Ascomycota, Sordariomycetes, Xylariales, Xylariaceae.